RNAcentral lists this transfer RNA (73 nucleotides) under Brevundimonas aurantiaca. Its description in RNAcentral is "tRNA-OTHER". It matches the Rfam family "Alphaproteobacteria transfer-messenger RNA", at positions 47 to 119 of the family's 355-position model. From Rfam's summary of the family: Bacterial tmRNA, also known as 10Sa RNA or SsrA, is named for its dual tRNA and mRNA-like properties. The record is from RNAcentral. Lineage: Bacteria; Pseudomonadati; Pseudomonadota; Alphaproteobacteria; Caulobacterales; Caulobacteraceae.
GGCCGGACUAUGGCGAUAAAGGCGCCUGUAAUAAGCGGACCGGACCCGGGUGCGAUUCCCGGCGGCUCCACCA